GACGAACGCUGGCGGCGUGCUUAACACAUGCAAGUCGAGCGGUAAGGCCCCUUUUGGGGGGUACACGAGCGGCGAACGGGUGAGUAACACGUGGGUGACCUGCCUUCAGCUCUGGGAUAAGCCUGGGAAACUGGGUCUAAUACCGGAUAUGACCUUUGCCUGCAUGGGUGGGGGUGGAAAGAUUUGUUUUGGCUGGGGAUGGGCCUGCGGUCUAUCAGCUUGUUGGUGGGGUGAUGGCCUACCAAGGCGACGACGGGUAGCCGGCCUGAGAGGGCGACCGGCCACACUGGGACUGAGACACGGCCCAGACUCCUACGGGAGGCAGCAGUGGGGAAUAUUGCGCAAUGGGCGGAAGCCUGACGCAGCGACGCCGCGUGGGGAUGAC
Molecule: ribosomal RNA, 385 nt
Filed under: uncultured bacterium
Lineage: Bacteria
Description: bacterial SSU rRNA
Rfam family: Bacterial small subunit ribosomal RNA
Source: RNAcentral